Small nucleolar RNA from Ornithorhynchus anatinus (platypus), 138 nucleotides. Lineage: Eukaryota; Metazoa; Chordata; Mammalia; Monotremata; Ornithorhynchidae. The record is from RefSeq and is a predicted model, not a curated record.
CGCCUGUCAGGGUCACAACUGGAGAGUUUCCAGUACUCUACCAGUCAUGACGACAGGAGGGAGAGUCAAGCAGAGGCCUCCCCAUUCCAUUCCUAGCUUGGGCAGUGGCUAGUGAGUGGAAGACAACCUGCUACAAGU